AUAGAGUUCGUUCAUUUAUGAAUAUUAUACUACAGGGAUCAAUUCAACAGGAAUAUAUGUUCAACUUGGUUAUGACUGUCUGAUAUUUAUUAUAAACCUAUCGUAGGCUAAAAAUUUAGUAAAUGAAAAGUAGAUAUCUUUGAAAGCUUGUCGGUAUAAGCUUUAUUCCUGUUCGAUUAAAGAACAUAAUGUUAACCCAUUAAAACUCUCUAUUUGAAAAAAAAGAAGAUAAGGUAACUAAUUUAAAACGUUUAUUAUAAGAUUUUCUGAGUUCUUGACAUACAAGUUUUCCUGAUGAGUAUUUGGCUAUUAAUUAUUUGUUGUUAGUUUCAGUGUAGGCAAACAAUUUAGCAAAUGAAAUGUUUUUACCCACGAAAGCUUGUUAAAAUAAGCUUUGAAUACCGCCCCCCCCCCCCCAAAAAAAAAAACAAACCAAAAACCAACAACAAAAAUAAACCAAAACCAACCCUACCAAAAUAGUUCCUGGCCAUUAAAACUUUCAUGAAAAGUAGAUAUCCUUGAAAGCUUGUCGACAUAAAGCUUUAUUUCUGUUCGAUUAAAGUGCAUAAUGAUAACCCAUUAAAACUCUCUAUUUGAAAAAAAAGAAGAUAAGAUAACUAAUUUAAAACUUUUAUUAUUUGUUGUUAGUUUCAGUGUCGGCAAACAUUUUAGCAAAUGAAAUGUAUAUAUACCCACGAAAGCUAGUUAAACUAAGCUUUUAAUACAGUUUUCCAAACAAAACAAAACAUUACAACCCUACCAACAUAGUACAUCGCC
Molecule: long non-coding RNA, 777 nt
Filed under: Mytilus galloprovincialis (Mediterranean mussel)
Lineage: Eukaryota; Metazoa; Mollusca; Bivalvia; Mytilida; Mytilidae
Source: RNAcentral